Molecule: transfer RNA, 72 nt
Filed under: Salmo salar (Atlantic salmon)
Lineage: Eukaryota; Metazoa; Chordata; Actinopteri; Salmoniformes; Salmonidae
Rfam family: tRNA
About the family: Transfer RNA (tRNA) molecules are approximately 80 nucleotides in length. Their secondary structure includes four short double-helical elements and three loops (D, anti-codon, and T loops). Further hydrogen bonds mediate the characteristic L-shaped molecular structure. tRNAs have two regions of fundamental functional importance: the anti-codon, which is responsible for specific mRNA codon recognition, and the 3' end, to which the tRNAs corresponding amino acid is attached (by aminoacyl-tRNA synthetases). tRNAs cope with the degeneracy of the genetic code in two manners: having more than one tRNA (with a specific anti-codon) for a particular amino acid; and 'wobble' base-pairing, i.e. permitting non-standard base-pairing at the 3rd anti-codon position.
Source: Rfam by way of RNAcentral
UCCCGCGUGGCUCAGUUGGUAGAGCAUGGUGUUUGCAAUGCCAGGGUUGUGGGUUUGAUUCCCAUGGGGGAC